ACGGGUGAGUAACGCGUGAGUAACCUGCCUUCCCUAGGGGGAUAACAUUCUGAAAAGAAUGCUAAUACCGCAUGAUAUAUCGGAAUCACAUGAUUUUGAUAUCAAAGAUUUUAUCGCUUGAAGAUGGACUCGCGUCCGAUUAGUUAGUUGGUGAGGUAACGGCUCACCAAGACUGCGAUCGGUAGCCGGACUGAGAGGUUGAACGGCCACAUUGGGACUGAGACACGGCCCAGACUCCUACGGGAGGCAGCAGUGGGGGAUAUUGCGCAAUGGGGGCAACCCUGACGCAGCAACGCCGCGUGAAGGAUGAAGGUUUUCGGAUUGUAAACUUCUUUUAUUAAGGACGAAGAUUGACGGUACUUAAUGAAUAAGCUCCGGCUAACUACGUGCCAGCAGCCGCGGUAAUACGUAGGGAGCAAGCGUUGUCCGGAUUUACUGGGUGUAAAGGGUGCGUAGGCGGCUUUGCAAGUCAGAUGUGAAAUCUAUGGGCUCAACCCAUAAACUGCAUUUGAAACUGUAGAGCUUGAGUGAAGUAGAGGCAGGCGGAAUUCCCCGUGUAGCGGUGAAAUGCGUAGAGAUGGGGAGGAACACCAGUGGCGAAGGCGGCCUGCUGGGCUUUAACUGACGCUGAGGCACGAAAGCGUGGGUA
Molecule: ribosomal RNA, 649 nt
Filed under: uncultured bacterium
Lineage: Bacteria
Description: bacterial SSU rRNA
Rfam family: Bacterial small subunit ribosomal RNA
Source: RNAcentral